UUAUAUAUUACAUUCUUACAUUCUUGAAGGAAGGAAUUAAUUGUAAAAAAUAUAUAAUUCUUGCGUUAUCAAUAUUACAGAGUUUUACUCUUUGUGGUGUUAUGUUGUAGUUUUCAUUCUCAACCACUUUAUAACUUUCCCCUUUCUCCUACCCUUUUCUCCAUAGUACAGUAUGCUUCUAAGGAAAACUCUCAAGUAUGAGAAAAGUUGUCGGCUAUAUUUCAUGGCCGGCGAAGGAAGAGAAAGGAAUGGGGAAAGAUCCGGUGUCAUCUUCGCUGCUCGUUAAUACUUUCCGUGAUUUAUCGAGAUUCCCCGAGUGAGUAAUGACCGACUUCUACUAAAUUUUUAAUAUUAAAUUCUCUAUUCAACCACGAUAUAUAUAUAUAUUAUUUUUCUUAACAUAUAUUUCUCGUUUUAUUUUUAAAGUUACAGCUACAAAAGCGUGACCAAUUGAAGGAAUAUCAUUGAAAAUUGGAUGAUCUACGGUUAAAAGAAGACAUUAAUCGAAUUUCUCCUAGUUGAUCUCCUUUCGGUCUAAUCGAAAUUUAUUCGAAACAAGCGAGCUCUAAGCGAUCGUUUAACAACGUUUGACGAUCUAUAAGUGCAAGGCGCAGUGAUCGUGAUUGCGGGGAAGAGUUGGUUCCACGCAAAAGGUGGAACACUCGAGGUCGAAGUGGGAUGCGGGAAGCGAGGCAUGCAUAUUCAAAACGCGGGAGGCGCAGACGUAGUCAUAGGAAUAAUAAAAAUUCGAGGGUUGAAAUUAUUUAGAUUUAUGCCCGCUCUCUUGUCCCGGUGCCGGGCGGUGACGAGAGAAGCGAUUCGAUUCCGGGGAACAAAUUUCAUGCAUUAUUCAGGACUCGCCGCAAUGCACCCCAGUCAAUGGAACCGAUCCUUUGGAAAAAGUCGUUUUUAAUCUCUCGUCGCGUUCCAAUAAUGCACAUGCACCGCCCGCUCACCUCUCCCUCCUCCACGUUCGCUGCCCCCGUUCCGCUUUCACCCCCGAGUGAAAGCCGUGUUUUCUGCCUUUAAACCGAACGACAGUUCGAACUCGAACAAUAAAUCGGGGGGAGGGGAGGGGGACCUAUCGGUAUCUAUCCCCCGUGAAUGUGCGCCACGUACUCUCAGUUUAGAGUUCCGCAAUUUAUUUUCCACCUCGGUGUUCAUAAUCGUUGGAUCGUUUCAGGGGGACUAACCAACGGAAUGCAAAAGCUGCUGACGGAGCAGCUAGAGAUUUUCCGCUUAAUAUUCACCCUUUCUCUCUCUUCCUUUCGCUCUUCCUCUCCUUCGCUCCUCUUUCUACACGUAUGUUAAUGCUGGAGUCGCGAGCGUUCCGUUCGCGAAACGUUCCCUUCCCCACGGCUUAUCUCUUGUUAUUGAAGAGAUUGUUAUUCUUAAGUUGCUUAAGAGAAUGUAAACGAUACAAGAUGCAUCUGUGAGAAAGGAGAGAAGAAAAAUCGUACAAAUUUUUAUUAGUUAGAAAUCUAUUUAUGCAAGUUCAGAUAAAUUCUGAAAUUGUCCAAUUUAAUGUUAAAAUUUCGUUACUUCUCGUGUUCGUUUCUAAUUCGAAAUUGUUAAAAAGCGAUCGAUCAUAGAGAAUAAAAAUGGAUGUAAUUGGACACCUCGGAGUAAAUCGGUGAAAAAUGAUAAAUAACACAUUCACGAAUAAUAUACAAAUGUAUUAAACUCCGUAUUCAAUUUUCAAUCAUCGUAAUAAAACAAUUUUCAUCAAUUUUCCCAAAAUGCUUCUAUUUUUCGCUUGUUCUUUCGUUCAUAGCCAGAUCAAUAGGAAAUUAUUGCUUGUUUCUUUACUCUUGAUUAAUCAUUCCACAGAGAAUGGCUUGUAAUCGCCUUACUGGAUGGAUUAAUGGAUCUGCCAGUUGUCACGGAGGUAGUUUCAUUAUUUUUAUUUUUAUCUUCACCUUCUUUCUCCGUACACGGAAUACAAUUCUUAUUCUUGCGAUUGUUUCAGUGAUCUUCCUGUGAAUGGGCGGGUUUAACAACGAGAAUGAAAAUCGAUACAUCGAUUUAACUUAGCCUGCUCUUCGCGAUUCUUCGCGAAAUCUCAGCUUUCCUGGAGACUCCAGGAUCGAAUUGAUGAUAAGAUACAUUCCCCAUUAAAAAGUUUUCUAGCAAAAAUGAAAAGAAAAAAAAAAGGAACGAUUGAGGAAGUAAUUGCGAGACAAAAUUGAACGUGAGAAAAAAUUGGAUGAAUUUUUCGCUAAAAAGAAAUUACAAUAAUUUCAUUUCUCUUUCAUUUUUUAAUAAUAAUAAUAAUGAUGACAAUAACAACUGUCAAAUCGAGAAUCGAUAACAAUGGCGGAUUAAAGGUAGACGAAUCUGGGUGAAUAUCGAUUAAUCCUAUUAACCGGAAAAUUUUCCAAAUAUCAACGUACGUUUCCAUUUCCACAGUAAUACCAUAAAUGUCGUAUUAACGUUCGAAUUAGGUGUACACGGUUUCAGGAGCGGAAAAGCCUCGUCCAUCGAAGCGAACAAAGAGGAGCUACACCGAUCACGCGCUACAAAUUAGUCGAAGCACCUGUUAAGAGACUCGGAUCGAAUGAUGUCAUUGUGUGUGAUUCCAGAGCCGCAAAAUAGCGAAAAUUGAUAGGAGCAACAAGGGUGAAGCGAUCUUCACGAUGCCACGUUUGAAUCACGGUUUAAAUUUAGCAUGUGAAAUAAUUUCAAGGAAGAAUAUCAUUUAUAUCGAUUAAUAUAUCAAUUGUUCGUUUUCUUCAUAAAGGGAGAAGUAGAGUAAACCUGAUUUUAAAUUUAUUACGUAACCUUCUAAGAUAUAAUAUAAAUUUGAUUCUCUAAUAAACAUAUUAGAUAUAUAAAAUUUCAUCGAUACUGUACAAAAUUAACAAUCUUCUUGAACAUCAAUUGCACGAGAUUUCCUUCGAAAUCUUUCAAAUUCGUUAUUAAAAGAAAACAAGACUUAAUUUUAGAGAUAAAUAAGAGAUAAAUAAAAUUUCUACAGGAAGGCGCGUCUAAUCGCGCUUGAACAUCGCCCAUCCAACUUUUCCAUUCAACUUUUCCUUUGCAAAUGAGACGGCGGAUCGAUAUCCCCCGUCACAGAUUUGCCCUCGUCCCUAAAAGCCACGUAUCUCUUGUCAUUCCGCGCACACACUCGGGUGUUCCCCUAAUUGUCCUCUGUCAACGGCCGCGUCAAAGAGAGGCCUGUCGAGGAGAGGCGAAACUAGCGUCUCGAUCGAGGAGAGGAGACUCGGGUAGAAGUUUAUUAGUCAAAUAACCCGAAUAAGAGGCCGAUGAGAGGGUGUGACCAUAUCGGGGGCUGAAUAUGACGGAUCGUGCGUGUGUGUGUGAGCGUCUCCUCGAGGGUACUCCCGAUUAUAACGAGUGGUAGUGGCGCAGUCAGAGAAGUGAAGAAGCACUACCACAAAGCAUGCACCGUCCCUUACCUUCUGUUUCAUUCAUUUCCGAAAAAUCGAGUUCGACAAUAUUUCUUCAUUCGUUAAAGGAAUCAAUCGAAAGUCUUCGAGCUACAUUUUUUCAAACGUGGCUUUUUUCUCUUAGCAAUGAAAGUAGGGGUAUUUCGAUGGAAAGAACACGUCCACGAUUGAUUGUGUCGCAUUACUUUUAUUACGUUCAAUAUACAGGAGUCGAAUGAUUUCUAUUAAUACAUAUAGAUACAAUAGAACGCUACUAUAUAAUAUGUACAUCGCAUAUCACAUACAGUCGAAUUUGGAAACGUGGAGGCGUAUCCACGAAACAGAUCUCUACGAUCUUUUCUCUCCUCGCUAAGAAAAUGACCCUCUCUCGAGCCUUGGAAGAAAUAACAGACACGGAUUGCACGAAGUGAAGAACCUCGAUAAGUGAUAAGGAUAUCGAAAAGAAAGACGCUAUGUGUUACACGUUCGAUCACAUCGAUCGAUGUACACUGUCAGGAUAGCACCAGAUGAAAGUUCGAGGCUGCUAGUUUUUUUUAAUUAUCUCUAAAUGUGCAAAGUUGUUUCUAAAUAUUCAAAUAUUCGAAUAAAAAGGAAAUUAAGGUAAAAGAAUAUCUCGGAAAAUUCGUUACUCGAUUCAUCAAUUAUAAUAAAUUAGAAAUGUCUCUAAAAAAAAAAUUCGUUCGUGAUAUUAAGAAAUUAAGAGAUUCACAAGAGGAUACGAAAUAUAUUGUUUAUCGUUAAGUAUAACGCGAUAUACAGCAAUUGGCAAAUCUAAUAUUGACGAUCCGUUUUUGAUUUCUUCUGCAACGAUCGAAACAAGUUUCCGCGUCUUUUCUUUUUUUUUUCUUUUUAAGUCUCUCUCUCUAUACGAAGUGGUCGAAGUGAAAAU
Molecule: long non-coding RNA, 4299 nt
Organism: Apis mellifera (honey bee)
Lineage: Eukaryota; Metazoa; Arthropoda; Insecta; Hymenoptera; Apidae
Exons: 2
Source: RefSeq, a predicted model, not a curated record